UUAGAACCGCAUGGUUCUAAAGUGAAAGAUGGUUUUGCUAUUACUUAUAGAUGGACCCGCGCCGUAUUAGCUAGUUGGUAAGGUAACGGCUUACCAAGGCGACGAUACGUAGCCGACCUGAGAGGGUGAUCGGCCACACUGGAACUGAGACACGGUCCAGACUCCUACGGGAGGCAGCAGUAGGGAGUCUUCCGCAAUGGGCGAAAGCCUGACGGAGCAACGCCGCGUGAGUGAUGAAGGGUUUCGGCUCGUAAAACUCUGUUAUUAGGGAAGAACAAAUGUGUAAGUAACUGUGCACAUCUUGACGGUACCUAAUCAGAAAGCCACGGCUAACUACGUGCCAGCAGCCGCGGUAAUACGUAGGUGGCAAGCGUUAUCCGGAAUUAUUGGGCGUAAAGCGCGCGUAGGCGGUUUCUUAAGUCUGAUGUGAAAGCCCACGGCUCAACCGUGGAGGGUCAUUGGAAACUGGGAAACUUGAGUACAGAAGAGGAAAGUGGAAUUCCAUGUGUAGCGGUGAAAUGCGCAGAGAUAUGGAGGAACACCAGUGGCGAAGGCGACUUUCUGGUCUGUAACUGACGCUGAUGUGCGAAAGCGUGGGGAUCAAACGGGAUUAGAUACCCUGGUAGUCCACGCCGUAAACGAUGAGUGCUAGGUGUUAGGGGGUUUCCGCCCCUUAGUGCUGCAGCUAACGCAUUAAGCACUCCGCCUGGGGAGUACGACCGCAAGGUUGAAACUCAAAG
RNAcentral lists this ribosomal RNA (740 nucleotides) under uncultured Staphylococcus sp. RNAcentral's name for it is "bacterial SSU rRNA". It matches the Rfam family "Bacterial small subunit ribosomal RNA", at positions 180 to 906 of the family's 1533-position model. Lineage: Bacteria; Bacillati; Bacillota; Bacilli; Caryophanales; Staphylococcaceae. The record is from RNAcentral.